GGGUUUGUUAGUUGGAGGGAUGUUGACCUCUGCAAAUGUGAUUGGUUUGGGGUUGGAAACAUGUUUAUAUUGUGGGGGAAAUAAUACUAGCCCCUGAGAGGAGAGCCUGUGCCAGUGAGCACUCCCAGCCCUCACAGCGAUGGGCAGGCAUGAUGCAGCUCACCUGGCAAUUCCUGAUCCCGCUGACCUCUCCCCGCAGCCUGGCGUCUCUCCCUCGGGCACUCGGCGUCUCCAGACGCUCUUUUCUUUCCCCUCGCCAUUCACCGGAGAGCUGUUUCUCACCGGCCACAUCUUUGCAGCGAGCCUAAUUAGACGGGAGCCUAAUUAGAGCGGAGCAGGAGCGGCCUGAACAAAGCUGGAGCUGCUGGUCCCAGAUCCAGGAAGAGCCCAGAGCAGGGCUGAAUCAGUGCCCUACUCUUCUGGGAGAUGUGUAUGGAAGAGAAGCAUGAGCAGGAACCCCAGCUGGAAAGCUCAUCUCAGCUGUCAAUAGGCCCCUUUCUUGAGAGUUGCAGCAGCCAAGUGAAGGCAAAUAGAGAAAACAGAAGUAUGAACUCUUCUCCUCUUCCUCAGGAAUUAUUGGCUGUCCCUGCAGCGUCUGGGCUGGGCCCCCCCAACCUAUUUGGCAGGUGUUAGCACUGCAGAGUUCCCGAAAUCAUGGCACUGUCAAGCUGAAUGAGAAACAGCUAUGGAGAAGGAGCCACAUAGGUCCUCAGGGCACAAGGAGCCCUGGACUUUAUUCCCAGAUCUACCACCAACCUUGGACAAGGCACUUGACUUUGUGCCUCAGUUUCCCAAGCGCUGAAGCAGCAAUAAUUAAGGCUGGUUGCUUAGGAGGUUGUUUGUGAACCGCCCCACCAAGCCCCAACCCUGUUAUUAGUCCUUGGCCCUGUUAUUAGACCUAAAUCCAACUUGCUUAAGAAUGAAGACUCCUGUGAAAAGCACACAAAUGGUUUCCCAUGUCAUCAUUUUUAUUAAAGUUCACAAACAGCUGAAGAAAACAAACAAACAAACAGAAACAGAAACAAAAAAGAGGACAGAAGAUGUAAAUAAACAUCACUGAGAGAGCACCAGGGGCUGCCUGUGCACAACCUGUGCCCUCCCCGGCAGCACCGCGUGCUCACUGCUCCGAGAAGACCUCUGUUGUUUGAAGCUGUGUCAAGGCUUUUCAUCACA
Pogoniulus pusillus (Red-fronted tinkerbird) is the source of this 1173-nucleotide long non-coding RNA. RefSeq lists it as uncharacterized. The transcript is spliced from 3 exons. NCBI's taxonomy places the organism in Eukaryota, Metazoa, Chordata, Aves, Piciformes, Lybiidae. The record is from RefSeq and is a predicted model, not a curated record.